This is a long non-coding RNA of Homo sapiens (human), 3297 nucleotides long. RefSeq lists it as uncharacterized. The transcript is spliced from 3 exons. NCBI's taxonomy places the organism in Eukaryota, Metazoa, Chordata, Mammalia, Primates, Hominidae. The record is from RefSeq and is a predicted model, not a curated record.
UGAUUUUUAAAACAGAUCAGUUUAAAAGAGAUUGCAAGGAGAAGGAGUGCUUGAUCCAAUUUAGGUGAAUUAUUAGCAACAAAUUUGUUAGAAAGCAGGUCAUUAAGCUACAGAAUGUCAGGCAGGAGUAAAAAGGGAGUUAAACAGUACAUAAUAGAGUUCCUGCAUUUCAAGAUAAAAAACUGAUUUCCGGAAAGGCAGAGAAAAGUAAUUAAGAUCAAUCAAAAAUUAUUUCAGAAUCACACCUGGAGUCCAGUUCCCUAGGUUCCCAGCCAGCCCUCUACUCUUUCUCCUGCAGCCUAGUCUUGUUUUCAGGAGUGACUGAGAAAGUUUGUGGUCUCUGUUGAGCUGGUCUGGAAUACUAGGGAGCUGUUUCCAGAAGCAGUGAAGCCAACAUAAAAUUUCAGAAGGGUCAUUGCAGUCACUGAGGGGUGAACCCUAUUUUUCAAGAAGGUGGGUGGGCCAUAAUAUCAAACAGGUGUGAGGUAGGUGAUAGGUAGCACCUGCACAGUAUAGCAUUGGCAAGAACUCAGAGACACCUGGAAACAGUAGACUGUAGAAAUUGUCCAACAAGGUAAUGAGUAGUUGCCAAACUGGCAGGAGAGAGUAAAGUCACUCAGGUCUGCUAGAUAUGUAUGUGUUAAAAUGGCUUCAUAUUAUUGCUGAUUUCAGUGAUGGAAAAGUCUAGAGACAACUCCAGGACUAACUACAAUUAAAUAGGCUGAUCCAGAAUGGAGAAAUGUGUUCUAUAGUAUGCAGCUAUUAUGCAUAUAAAGUAGCUCAAACAUUUUAAAGGGGAGUUUGGACAGGAAGCACAAAAAGAUUUAAAGAUCUGCCUGACCUUUGAGCCAUGAAUUCUAUUCUAGAAAUUCAUUAAGAAUUAUUCAUGCAUGUACACAAAGAUUUAUACAUCAAGAUAUUCAUUUCAGCAUUGUAUCUAAUAGUAAAAAGCUGGUAAGAACCUAAAUGCAUACUAGUGAAUAACGGCAUCCAUAAUUGAUGGAGUGUCCAUGUAUUAAAAUUACACAGCAGCUAUUAAAGGAAAUAUUACAGAAGAAUUAUUAAUCAUAUUGAAAAAUGAUCAGGUUAUAUUUAAAAAGCAAGCCCCAAACAAUAUAAGCAAAAAAGAAUCUUGUGAAUAAUACAUGCAUGAAAGUCGAUUUAUAUAAAAAAAAUCCUGAUACAAAAUUCAGCAAAAUAUAACUGGUUAUUUCUUCCUGUUCACAUGAUAUUGUUCAUUUGCUUUUUUGAAUGGCUCUGUUUUUUCUUAUUAUAUAAUAUGUAAAGUUAUUUCAUUUUUAAAACAUUUUAUCACGAUAUUAAAAAUACAGAAGUCAGUGAAGAUGCUGCUGAGCUAAGGAAAAAUGUGUGUCCUGCUUAUCCAGAACAUUCCUCAGGCUCUACACAGAUCCCAGAUGAACAGUAAAAUGGUGGGGGCCUCCCUUCCAUGUUGAAGUAGGGUCCAUGGAGAUAAAUGCUUCAACGUGCCUGGUAGAAGGCUGAUGCCAAGGAACCCUAAACCUUUAGAGUAAAUGGAGAGGACAGAACUACUCUCCUAUCUUCUCACCCUUCCUCCCUUUAGUCAUUCUUGCCUCUCUACAAAGGUUAGUUGGAAUGCUUUACCGAAAAGUGCUUUGUAAGCACAGACUCCAUAAAAUCAACCUUAGCUUCUUAAAAACUGUCUGGUCACAACUGGGUCUAUGUGUCAUUUUCAAAUAUGACAUUUCAGUCAAAGCCUUGGUUAUAGAACCAAGAUUUUCAGUUAUAUCCAGUUACAAGAAGGAUAAAUUCCUAUUGGACAUAUGCAAAUAAUUAUGUCGUCAUGAAAAUAAGAAUCCUCAAUGAGUGCCAAAUUCUAGAGGGAUUAGGCAAGGAGAAAACGAUAAAUGUUCUAUUUCUGUUUAUAAAAGUAUAAUCUAAUUAUUGUUGCAAGUUAUGGAUACUGUAAAAGAGAAAGAAGUGUCUUAUAAUCCAUUCAGAAAAUAGAACAUAAAAGAAUCAACAAUGUUUCAAGUAAAAAUCCAUAAAUAUUAUAAUUGCACUUCAUCAGUUCAUCUGGUACCUGUAAUUAAUUUUUGUUCUGGUUGAUCUUGGGUUAGCAGUUUUAUCAACCAAUCAGUUUCUCCAAUAUAGUUCUGGAAAUCCUUACUCAGUCUAGUGGGAUGGUCUUAAAGUCAUUUAAGCAAUGCAAUCAGAAGCCUGCACUCUAGUGUAUCUGUUAUAGAUUUUUUUCCAUGUGUCCCUGAGACUUUUCCUUUUUAUUUAAGAUUAAGCAUUUUGGCUUGUAACUUAUUAAAAACGUUUUCAUACGGGAAUCAGAGUAAAACAAAAACUAUCUGUGCAUGACAAGACUUAAAACGGCUAUGGUUAAAGAUAUGAUAAUGUGUCCAGAAUUUAGUCCUUCCGGUGGGUUCUUGGACUUGCUGACUUCAAGAAUGAAGCCGCGGACCCUCACAGUGAGUGUUACAGUCCUUAAAGAUGGUGUGUCUGGAGUUUGUUCCUUCAGAUGUUCAGAUGUGUCCGGAGUUUCUUCCUUCUGGUGGGUUCGUGGUCUCACUGACUUCAGGAGUGAAGCUGCAGGCCUUCACGGCCCUGGCAACCACUACUCUAUUUUAUGUCUCCAGGAUUUUGACUAUUCUAUGUACCUCAUAUCCAGCAUCCUUUGAAGCAUGAGUUCCCACAAGCAGAAGCAGCCCUUUACCUCACCCCCUCAGCUUCAACAGCAGCAGGUGAAACAGCACAGCCAGCCUCUCCCUUAGGAACCAUUUGUUCCCAUAACCAAGGAGCCAUGCUACCCAAAACUUGGAACCUGGAACCUGGAAACACCAAGAUUCCAGAGUUAGGCUGCACCAAGAUCCCUGAGCCAGGCUGCACCAAGGUCCUUGAGUCAAUCUCCACCAAGGUACCAGAGCCACAUCCUUCAACAGUCACUUCCGGCCCAGCUCAGCAGAAGUCCAAGUAGAAGUAAUGUGGUGCACAGACAAGCCCUUGAGAAGCUGACCACCAGAUGCUGGACACACUCUUCCUAUCUGCUUCUGUAUCUUAAUUGUCUGUAGACCUUGUAACCAAUACAUUGUCACCCCAAGUCAUAGUCUUUCUCUUAUUUGUAUUCUAAAAAUAUGCACUAUGAAGCUCCUUUUGCUUGCACACACUCUGAAGAAUUCUGUAAACCCCUGAGUUAAGCAGAAAGUCUUCAUGGUUUUUCUGGUCUUCAGCUGCUCAGGGUUCAUCUGAACAUUCGAAUGAAAAAAAAUGCAUAUAUCCUGCUCUGCCCUCAUUAAAUCACUUUUAACUCCA